UGGGGAAUAUUGGACAAUGGGCGAAAGCCUGAUCCAGCAAUGCCGCGUGAGUGAUGAAGGCCUUAGGGUUGUAAAAGCUCUUUUUACCAGGGAUGAUAAUGACAGUACCUGGAGAAUAAGCUCCGGCUAACUCCGUGCCAGCAGCCGCGGUAAUACGGAGGGAGCUAGCGUUGUUCGGAAUUACUGGGCGUAAAGCGCACGUAGGCGGCGAUUCAAGUCAGAGGUGAAAGCCCGGGGCUCAACCCCGGAACUGCCUUUGAAACUAGAUUGCUAGAAUCCUGGAGAGGUGAGUGGAAUUCCGAGUGUAGAGGUGAAAUUCGUAGAUAUUCGGAAGAACACCAGUGGCGAAGGCGACUCACUGGACAGGUAUUGACGCUGAGGUGCGAAAGCGUGGGGAGCAAAACAGGAUUAGAUACCCUGGUAGUCCACGCCGUAAAACGAUGAUAACUAGCUGUCCGGGCUCAUAGAGCUUGGGUGGCGCAGCUAACGCAUUAAGUUAUCCGCCUGGGGAGUACGGUCGCAAGAUUAAAAACUUAAAUGAAUUGACGGGGUCAUAGCUGUUUCCU
Molecule: ribosomal RNA, 566 nt
Filed under: uncultured bacterium
Lineage: Bacteria
Description: partial 16S ribosomal RNA
Rfam family: Bacterial small subunit ribosomal RNA
Source: RNAcentral